Molecule: RNA transcript, 831 nt
Organism: Mangifera indica (mango)
Lineage: Eukaryota; Viridiplantae; Streptophyta; Magnoliopsida; Sapindales; Anacardiaceae
Gene name: protein TOPLESS-RELATED PROTEIN 2-like
Exons: 5
Source: RefSeq, a predicted model, not a curated record
UUCCUUCAAUGGUCACCGGUUGAAUUGUCUGUUCCCCAGAAAACAUUAGCUUAUAUAAGCCAAGAAGAUCUGCAUAUUGCUGUGAUGACUGAGGGAAACACUUGAAUUUGCUGCCCAAUGUCUUUGUGUUGGAAACCGAGGAAAGCUAUUUUUGUUUCUGCUUGUGCAGAUAUGAUGAUGGAAGUCAGUAAAAGAGAGGAGACAGGCACUGUUCUGGAUCCAGAUGUAGAUACUUACAUGAAGGUGUCUUCAACAUACUUAUCUUGUUUAUAUCAGAUGUAUUGUUCUAUAUGCAGUUGCUACAUGUAUGAAAUAUUCAUGACAUGGACAUGCGUUACUACCUCAUUGGGUACAGUCCUGAGGUCGAGAGGCAGGAUCGAGCAAAGACUAUUGAGAUUCUUGUCAAGGACCUUAAGGUUUUUGCAUCUUUCAAUGAAGAUCUUUUCAAGGAGAUUACUCAGCUCCUCACUCUUGAUAACUUUAGGCAAAAUGAGCAUCUUUCCAAGUAUGGAGACACAAAAUCGGCUCUUAAUAUUAUGCUUAUAGAACUCAAAAAGCUAAUUGAAGCAAACCCCCUGUUUUGUGACAAGCUUAUACAUUCCCAGCCUUCAAAAGUUCACGUCUGAGGACAUUAAUAAACCAGAGGUGAUCAAGGAGUGAGUCGAAUAGAGGAUUCUCAGAUGUAAAUGAAGUAUUGUCAGAAGGAGGAGAAGAGGACCGAAACCUGAUGACGAGUAUGGAAGAUGAGGAAGAAAGCAGCAAUAGAUGUCCUCUGAGGAAGAAGCCCUGUCUCUCCAAAGAAUGCUCUCAUCUUCUCAAAGAAAGUUUCAG